Oryza sativa Japonica Group (Japanese rice) is the source of this 1046-nucleotide long non-coding RNA. RefSeq lists it as uncharacterized. NCBI's taxonomy places the organism in Eukaryota, Viridiplantae, Streptophyta, Magnoliopsida, Poales, Poaceae. The record is from RefSeq and is a predicted model, not a curated record.
UCGAGAGCCUCUACAACCCUAGCCGCCACCGCUACUGCGCCCUUGUCGCCGCUGCUAUUAUCCCUGUCGCCGCCACCACAGCCGUGGCCGGCCAUCGUCAUCCGUCGCCACCGGUGAUCCCUUUCUGUUUUUUUCCUUCCCGAGGGGAGAAGGUUCAGAGGGCAGAGGAAGAAGGAGGAUUAAAGAAGAAAAAGAGAAAGAGAAGCAAAGUUGGGGAUUUUCUGGGAUUCCACAAAUUCACCUCAAAUUUGAUUUUCUCCUCUAUAAGGGUGUGGAGAGAUCUGGUGUGGAGGGGGUUUCGUCGGGUUGCCGUCGAGGUUAAAGGCAAGUGUAUGACGAACAAAUUAUGUGUUUCUUGGAUUGUUUGCUCCACCUAUUUAUUUUCAAUAUAUUUCUAUGUUAUAUGUGAUUGCAUAUGUUCAGAUUAUUGUUCAUGAUAUUUAUAUUUCAGGUUUAUCUUAUGUUCACAAUGACGUUAUUCUUGUUUCAAUAUUCUGGAUUCUGGUUCUGGUUAAAUAACUCAAUUUCCAUGCUUGCCAUGGAUGUGCAAUUUAGUUUCAAUUUGCUUUUUUGUUUCUAGUUUCAAUUAUUCAUGUUCCAUGUGAGUCAUGGAUAUGCUAUCUGGUUUUAUAUUCAUGUUCCUAUAGGUAAUUGUUGAUCAAGCUUACUCGGCUUUGCCGGCAAAUGCUAGGAUGUAUUCACAGUUGUCCAGGAUGGGAACUACUAUUUCAAUUCAUGUCUGUUCGGGAUGGGAACUAUUAAUUUUCUUUAACAUGGUGUUUGAAACCGUGUUUCUUUUCAAAGAAAGAAAGUUUUAUGUUCAGGCUUUAUUGCCAAUGAUGUGUAUAUGUGUUUUCUAGUUCCAUAUUGUACUUGCUAAGUAUUUAUGUACUCACUCUUGUGUUUAUUUGGUUUUAAGUACACAUUGAGAUCAGUAUGUAUGGGCGGAAAGUAGCACCCUUAUAUACACAUCUAUCUACACACUAUCAAAUUAUAUUGCUUAGGUCCAUAAUGACACUUAAACUAUAUCCUGGUUUUGUCUUGUA